UGGGGAAUAUUGCACAAUGGGGGAAACCCUGAUGCAGCAACGCCGCGUGAGUGAUGACGGCCUGGUUGUAAGCUCUGUCUUCAGGGACGGAUAAUGACGGUACCU
Molecule: ribosomal RNA, 105 nt
Filed under: uncultured bacterium
Lineage: Bacteria
Description: partial 16S ribosomal RNA
Rfam family: Bacterial small subunit ribosomal RNA
Source: RNAcentral